CCUCUCAUAGCUCAGUUGGAAGAGCGAAGCAUUGUAAUCGCCUGAGCCUGUGUGAACAAGCCACUUUCAAGCCUGCUUAGGUCGCCCGUUCGAUCCGGGCUGAGAGGA
Naganishia onofrii is the source of this 108-nucleotide non-coding RNA. The record is from the annotation of a GenBank genome assembly. NCBI's taxonomy places the organism in Eukaryota, Fungi, Basidiomycota, Tremellomycetes, Filobasidiales, Filobasidiaceae.